UUGUUAUUGUUGUUUUUGUCGGAGUUCGAAGGAAUGGGGGAUUUUGAAUAAAUCUUUCUGAAAGCUUUUCGAGGAAAGAAGAACAAGAAAGAGUUUGAGUUGGAAAUCAAGAUGGCAAGACACAUAAGUAUAUUGAAGACCACAGAGGAACCUACAGUUGAGUUUGGUGCUCAGGAGUUUGCUUGUCUAUUUUGCUAUAAAAGAUCAGAUUAUGCAGGCAUCAUCAGCCACUUACAGAGCCACAAAAGGACAGUAGUGGUUCAUGGAGGGAUGUGAAGCUCUCUAGAAUAUAUCUUGUAAUUUGUAAAAUUUGAUGAAUUGACACUUUUAAUACAAUUUACUGCAGCUAGAUAUUCACCUUAACAACAUGAUUUUAUUUGACAAAAUAGUAUACUGUGUACUUUUUCACCUUUUGAAAAGCUAGCUUUGAAUAAUUUUAGAUUAAUUAAUUCAUGACUGUGUAUUAACAAUUUUCUCUUUUAAAAUAUUUAGUAGAAUAUGACAACGGUCAUAGUACAAAUACUCUAAUGUUUCAGAAUGUAAGUGUGGAAUUACAUUACCUACAAUUGACAGGCAACUACUGUAUAGUAUAUUUUCAUAAAUUUUUAAAAGCAUCAUUGACUGAAUCUUUAAUUAGUUUGUUCUGUUUAAAAGAAUAAUAGAACAGGAUUUGCAUGUUUUAACUUUAUUAAAUAUAAGGAUUAUCUGAAUUUCUUUUGAACAGUUUUAAAUGUUAAGCAAAAUAAUUCUGAAUAUUAACCUUUUUUUUUUCUUUGUACUGUUUCAGGUUUCAAAAUAUUCAAGUGUUCACUGAACUGCCAGGGAUCAGGCCACUACCAUUGCUGUUAUUGCCAGAAAACAGUAGUUUGUAAAGAUCAGUUCCUCAGGCACUUGUCAGAGUGUGGCAAAGGUCCUAAAGUGCUCUCUUUGACCCUCUUGCCCACGGCACCGGUCGCCACCCAGUCUCUGCCCUCCGUGCCCACGGCACCGGUUGCUGCCCAGCCUCUGCCCUCUGAAUUCCAUAAGAUGGUCCAAGCCAAGAUCAGAAAGGUAAAAUGUUCUCUUUGUAACCUCAGACUGAACAAAAAGAACCUUUGAGUGCACAUGAAGAGAAAACACUCAAGCUGUAAGCAAGGGAUUAGUACAGAACAUCAUCUUAAAUCCAUGUGCAUUAACAAGGCUAGAGGAAUAUUUGCUGUUGC
Molecule: long non-coding RNA, 1202 nt
Organism: Erpetoichthys calabaricus (reedfish)
Lineage: Eukaryota; Metazoa; Chordata; Cladistia; Polypteriformes; Polypteridae
Exons: 3
Source: RefSeq, a predicted model, not a curated record